RNAcentral lists this unclassified non-coding RNA (518 nucleotides) under uncultured Glomeromycotina. RNAcentral describes it as "SSU rRNA". It matches the Rfam family "Eukaryotic small subunit ribosomal RNA", at positions 571 to 1092 of the family's 1831-position model. Lineage: Eukaryota; Fungi; Glomeromycota. The record is from RNAcentral.
CAGCCGCGUAAUUCCAGCUCCAAUAGCGUAUAUUUAAGUUGUUGCAGUUAAAAAGCUCGUAGUUGAAUUUCGGGACCAAUUUGUUGGUCGUGCCUCGGUACGUACUGGUAUUAUUGGUUUCUACCUUCUGAAGAACCUUGAUGUCAUUAAUUUGGUGUCUUGGGGAAUCAGGACUGUUACUUUGAAAAAAUUAGAGUGUUUAAAGCAAGCAUACGCUUGAAUACAUUAGCAUGGAAUAAUGAAAUAGGACGUUUGAUUCUAUUUUGUUGGUUUCUAGGAUCGACGUAAUGAUUAAUAGGGAUAGUUGGGGGCAUUAGUAUUCAAUUGUCAGAGGUGAAAUUCUUGGAUUUAUUGAAGACUAACUACUGCGAAAGCAUUUGCCAAGGAUGUUUUCAUUAAUCAAGAACGAAAGUUAGGGGAUCGAAGACGAUCAGAGACCGUCGUAGUCUUAACCAUAAACUAUGCCGACUAGGGAUCGGAUGAUGUUAAUUUUUUAAUGACUCAUUCGGCGCCUUACG